This 485-nucleotide ribosomal RNA is filed under the name uncultured bacterium. Its description in RNAcentral is "bacterial LSU rRNA". It matches the Rfam family "Bacterial large subunit ribosomal RNA", at positions 2076 to 2557 of the family's 2925-position model. The record is from RNAcentral.
CACAAGACGGAAAGACCCCGUGCACCUUUACUAUACCCUAUCAGUGAAUUAUGGGUUGAACUGCGCAGGAUAGGUGGGAGGCUUUGAGAUCGGCUUUUUUGGAGUCGAUGGAGCCAAUGGUGAGAUACCACCCUGUUCAAUCUGUGAUUCUAACCUACUUCCCUGAUCGGGAAGAGGGACACUGGUAGGCGGGUAGUUUGACUGGGGCGGUCGCCUCCUAAAUUGUAACGGAGGCGCUCGAAGCUGCGUUCAGGUGGUUUGGAAAUCCACCGUCGAGUGCAAAGGCAUAAACGCGGUUAACUGCGAGACCUACAAGUCAAGCAGGUGGGAAACCAGGACUUAGUGAUCCGGUGAUUCUGUAUGGAAGGGUCAUCGCUCAACGGAUAAAAGGUACGCCGGGGAUAACAGGCUGAUCGGAGUCAAGAGUUCACAUCGACGCUCCGGUUUGGCACCUCGAUGUCGGUUCAUCGCAUCCCGGGGGUGUA